CCUACGGGGGGCUGCAGUGGGGAAUAUUGGACAAUGGGCGAAAGCCUGAUCCAGCCAUGCCGCGUGUGUGAAGAAGGCCUUCGGGUUGUAAAGCACUUUCAGUGGGGAAGAAAGCCUUGGGGCUAAUACCCUCGAGGAAGGACAUCACCCACAGAAGAAGCACCGGCUAACUCCGUGCCAGCAGCCGCGGUAAUACGGAGGGUGCGAGCGUUAAUCGGAAUUACUGGGCGUAAAGCGCGCGUAGGCGGUCUGAUAAGCCGGUUGUGAAAGCCCCGGGCUCAACCUGGGAACGGCAUCCGGAACUGUCAGGCUAGAGUGCAGGAGAGGAAGGUAGAAUUCCCGGUGUAGCGGUGAAAUGCGUAGAGAUCGGGAGGAAUACCAGUGGCGAAGGCGGCCUUCUGGACUGACACUGACGCUGAGGUGCGAAAGCGUGGGUAGCAUACAGGAUUAGAUACCCGUGUAGUC
RNAcentral lists this ribosomal RNA (465 nucleotides) under Vreelandella stevensii. Its description in RNAcentral is "partial 16S ribosomal RNA". It matches the Rfam family "Bacterial small subunit ribosomal RNA", at positions 338 to 795 of the family's 1533-position model. The record is from RNAcentral. Lineage: Bacteria; Pseudomonadati; Pseudomonadota; Gammaproteobacteria; Oceanospirillales; Halomonadaceae.